Anguilla rostrata (American eel) is the source of this 586-nucleotide long non-coding RNA. RefSeq lists it as uncharacterized. NCBI's taxonomy places the organism in Eukaryota, Metazoa, Chordata, Actinopteri, Anguilliformes, Anguillidae. The record is from RefSeq and is a predicted model, not a curated record. The transcript has 3 exons.
UGUGUCCCUCUCUCUGCAGGCUGUCAGGCUGUAGAGUCACACAGAGAGGCUGUGAUUCUCUGGCUUCAGCUCUGUGUUCAAACCCCUCACACCUGAGAGAGCUGGACCUGAGAUACAAUCACCCAGGAGACUCAGGAGUGAGAGCGCUGUCUGCUGCUAAACUGGACACACUCACACUGCUUGUGGACCAUGGAGGAGAGAACAGGACCAAACCAGGACCCAGGAAAUACGGCUGUCAGCUCACACUGGAUCCAAACACAGCGCACAGAGAGCUGUCUCUGUCUGAGCGGAACAGGAGGGUGACACACACAUGGAGAGAGGAGCCAUAUCCUGAUCAUCUAGAGAGAUUUGAGCGCUGGCGCCAGGUUGUGUGCAGAGAGAGAGUGCGUGAGCGCUGUUACUGGGAGGCUGAGUUCAGUGUGUCUGAGGGGGGAUGGGUUCAUAUAGCAGUGACAUAUAAAGGAAUCAGCAGGAAAGGAGUGGGUUCUGACUGUGUGUUUGGAGAGAAUAAAAACUCCUGGAGUCUGGAGUGUGAUAAACUCAGAUACUCUGAUAAACUCAGAUACUCUGUCUGGCACAAUAAGAA